Non-coding RNA from Pelobates cultripes (western spadefoot toad), 234 nucleotides. NCBI's taxonomy places the organism in Eukaryota, Metazoa, Chordata, Amphibia, Anura, Pelobatidae. The record is from the annotation of a GenBank genome assembly.
UCUCAAUUUGCUCUAACAGCUGUUCUUCCUCAAUAAUAUUUACAUUAGGUGGUUUAUAACAUAUCCCAACCAAUAACUGAUUUCCCUUUGUUUGCCCCAAGCAGAUAUCUACCCAUAAAGCCUCCACCUUUUCCUCGUCACACUCCACAUGCCUAAGAUUUGACUUUAACUCAUGGUUGACAUAUAAACAUACCCCACCACCCUUCUUGUUUUUCCUAUCCUUCCUAAAUAACG